Molecule: ribosomal RNA, 372 nt
Filed under: uncultured organism
Description: bacterial SSU rRNA
Rfam family: Bacterial small subunit ribosomal RNA
Source: RNAcentral
CAGAGACUGCAAGCGUUAUUCGGAUUCACUGGGCGUAAAGGGUGCGCAGGCGGCCAAGUGUGUUAGGCGUGAAAGCCCGGGGCUUAACCCCGGAAUUGCACCUAAAACUACAUGGCUAGAGCAUUGGAGAGGGUAGCAGAAUUCACGGUGUAGCAGUGAAAUGCGUAGAUAUCGUGAGGAAUACCAGAGGCGAAGGCGGCUACCUGGACAAUUGCUGACGCUCAGGCACGAAAGCGUGGGGAGCAAAAGGGAUUAGAUACCCCUGUAGUCCACGCCCUAAACGGUGCAUACUAGGUCUUGGCGGAUUCGACCCCACCAGGGCCCAAGCUAACGCGUUAAGUAUGCCGCCUGAGGACUACGGCCGCAAGGCUA